Molecule: long non-coding RNA, 1082 nt
Organism: Oncorhynchus tshawytscha (Chinook salmon)
Lineage: Eukaryota; Metazoa; Chordata; Actinopteri; Salmoniformes; Salmonidae
Source: Ensembl
CAGAAAGGGGGAUACCUAGUCAGUUGUACAACAGAAAGGGGGAUACCUAGUCAGUUGUACAACAGAAAGGUGGAUACCUAGUCAGUUGUACAACAGAAAGGGAAAGGGGGGUACCUAGUCAGUUGUACAACAGAAAGGGCGAUACCUAGUCAGUUAUACAACUGAAUGCAUUCAACUGAAAUGUGUCUUCCACAUUUAACCCCUCUGAAUCAGAGAGGUGCAGGGGGCUGACAUAAUUAACGACAGAUUUUUUUUUUUUACCAUUCGGUUACUGGCCCAACCCUCCUACCCGCCAGUGCUUGGUUUGUAAUGAAUAUUAUUAAUCACUUUGAUAAGGUCUGUUGAUUAUAAAAAUGUUUUUGGGGUAACAUAUACUGUUCUCAGAGAGAUUCAACUGCUCAUCUAUACCCAGAGAAUCAGAGUGAUGUCGUUAGGCUGUGAUUUAUCUAUACCCAGAGAAUCAGAGUGAUGUCGUUAGUUUAUGACUCAUCUAUACCCAGAGAUUCAGAGUGAUGUCAUUAGGUUAUGACUCAUCUAUACCCAGAGAAUCAGAGUGAUGUCAUUAGGUUAUGACUCAUCUAUACCCAGAGAAUCAGAGUGAUGUCGUUAGGUUGUGACUCAUCUAUACCCAGAGAUUCAGAGUGAUGUUGUUAGGUUAUGACUCAUCUUUACCGUUAAUCAGAGUGAUGUCAUUAGGUUGACUCAUCUAUACCCAGAGAAUCAGAGUGAUGUCAUUAGGUUGUGACUCAUCUAUACCCAGAGAAUCAGAGUGAUGUCGUUAGGUUCUGACUCAUCUAUACCCAGAGAAUCAGAGUGAUGUCGUUAGGUUCUGACUCAUCUAUACCCAGAGAAUCAGAGUGAUGUCGUUAGGUUCUGACUCAUCUAUACCCAGAGAAUCAGAGUGAUGUCGUUAGGUUGUGACUCAUCUAUACCCAGAGAAUCAGAGUGAUGUCGUUAGGUUGUGACUCAGCUGUCAUGCUAUGUUUAUUGUACUGCUGGGCUUCUGUCAUCUGACUGUUUUCUAUGGGGAUUAAGGUCUGUUUAAUAAGUAUACUGAAUUAUGACUUAAGAGGUCAAAAGUC